This 357-nucleotide ribosomal RNA is filed under the name uncultured bacterium. RNAcentral's name for it is "bacterial SSU rRNA". It matches the Rfam family "Bacterial small subunit ribosomal RNA", at positions 8 to 353 of the family's 1533-position model. The record is from RNAcentral.
AGAGUUUGAUCCUGGCUCAGGAUGAACGCUAGCUACAGGCUUAACACAUGCAAGUCGAGGGGCAGCAUGGUCUUAGCUUGCUAAGGCCGAUGGCGACCGGCGCACGGGUGAGUAACACGUAUCCAACCUGCCGUCUACUCUUGGGACAGCCUUCUGAAAAGGAAGAUUAAUACAAGAUGGCAUCAUGAGUCCGCAUAGUUCACAUGAUUAAAGGUAUUCCGGUAGACGAUGGGGAUGCGUUCCAUUAGAUAGUAGGCGGGGUAACGGCCCACCUAGUCUUCGAUGGAUAGGGGUUCUGAGAGGAAGGUCCCCCACAUUGGAACUGAGACACGGUCCAAACUCCUACGGGAGGCAGCA